UACGUAGGGUGCAAGCGUUAAUCGGAAUUACUGGGCGUAAAGCGUGCGCAGGCGGUUAUGUAAGACAGAUGUGAAAUCCCCGGGCUCAACCGAGGAACUGCAUUUGUAACUGCAUAGCUAGAGUACGGCAGAGGGGGAUGGAAUUCCGCGUGUAGCAGUGAAAUGCGUAGAUAUGCGGAGGAACACCGAUGGCGAAGGCAAUCCCCUGGGCCUGUACUGACGCUCAUGCACGAAAGCGUGGGGAGCAAACAGG
RNAcentral lists this ribosomal RNA (253 nucleotides) under uncultured bacterium. RNAcentral describes it as "partial 16S ribosomal RNA". It matches the Rfam family "Bacterial small subunit ribosomal RNA", at positions 524 to 776 of the family's 1533-position model. The record is from RNAcentral.